RNAcentral lists this ribosomal RNA (2564 nucleotides) under Escherichia coli. RNAcentral describes it as "partial 23S ribosomal RNA". It matches the Rfam family "Bacterial large subunit ribosomal RNA", at positions 398 to 2925 of the family's 2925-position model. The record is from RNAcentral. Lineage: Bacteria; Pseudomonadati; Pseudomonadota; Gammaproteobacteria; Enterobacterales; Enterobacteriaceae.
UGUGAGCUCGAUGAGUAGGGCGGGACACGUGGUAUCCUGUCUGAAUAUGGGGGGACCAUCCUCCAAGGCUAAAUACUCCUGACUGACCGAUAGUGAACCAGUACCGUGAGGGAAAGGCGAAAAGAACCCCGGCGAGGGGAGUGAAAAAGAACCUGAAACCGUGUACGUACAAGCAGUGGGAGCACGCUUAGGCGUGUGACUGCGUACCUUUUGUAUAAUGGGUCAGCGACUUAUAUUCUGUAGCAAGGUUAACCGAAUAGGGGAGCCGAAGGGAAACCGAGUCUUAACUGGGCGUUAAGUUGCAGGGUAUAGACCCGAAACCCGGUGAUCUAGCCAUGGGCAGGUUGAAGGUUGGGUAACACUAACUGGAGGACCGAACCGACUAAUGUUGAAAAAUUAGCGGAUGACUUGUGGCUGGGGGUGAAAGGCCAAUCAAACCGGGAGAUAGCUGGUUCUCCCCGAAAGCUAUUUAGGUAGCGCCUCGUGAAUUCAUCUCCGGGGGUAGAGCACUGUUUCGGCAAGGGGGUCAUCCCGACUUACCAACCCGAUGCAAACUGCGAAUACCGGAGAAUGUUAUCACGGGAGACACACGGCGGGUGCUAACGUCCGUCGUGAAGAGGGAAACAACCCAGACCGCCAGCUAAGGUCCCAAAGUCAUGGUUAAGUGGGAAACGAUGUGGGAAGGCCCAGACAGCCAGGAUGUUGGCUUAGAAGCAGCCAUCAUUUAAAGAAAGCGUAAUAGCUCACUGGUCGAGUCGGCCUGCGCGGAAGAUGUAACGGGGCUAAACCAUGCACCGAAGCUGCGGCAGCGACGCUUAUGCGUUGUUGGGUAGGGGAGCGUUCUGUAAGCCUGUGAAGGUGUGCUGUGAGGCAUGCUGGAGGUAUCAGAAGUGCGAAUGCUGACAUAAGUAACGAUAAAGCGGGUGAAAAGCCCGCUCGCCGGAAGACCAAGGGUUCCUGUCCAACGUUAAUCGGGGCAGGGUGAGUCGACCCCUAAGGCGAGGCCGAAAGGCGUAGUCGAUGGGAAACAGGUUAAUAUUCCUGUACUUGGUGUUACUGCGAAGGGGGGACGGAGAAGGCUAUGUUGGCCGGGCGACGGUUGUCCCGGUUUAAGCGUGUAGGCUGGUUUUCCAGGCAAAUCCGGAAAAUCAAGGCUGAGGCGUGAUGACGAGGCACUACGGUGCUGAAGUAACAAAUGCCCUGCUUCCAGGAAAAGCCUCUAAGCAUCAGGUAACAUCAAAUCGUACCCCAAACCGACACAGGUGGUCAGGUAGAGAAUACCAAGGCGCUUGAGAGAACUCGGGUGAAGGAACUAGGCAAAAUGGUGCCGUAACUUCGGGAGAAGGCACGCUGAUAUGUAGGUGAAGCGACUUGCUCGUGGAGCUGAAAUCAGUCGAAGAUACCAGCUGGCUGCAACUGUUUAUUAAAAACACAGCACUGUGCAAACACGAAAGUGGACGUAUACGGUGUGACGCCUGCCCGGUGCCGGAAGGUUAAUUGAUGGGGUCAGCGCAAGCGAAGCUCUUGAUCGAAGCCCCGGUAAACGGCGGCCGUAACUAUAACGGUCCUAAGGUAGCGAAAUUCCUUGUCGGGUAAGUUCCGACCUGCACGAAUGGCGUAAUGAUGGCCAGGCUGUCUCCACCCGAGACUCAGUGAAAUUGAACUCGCUGUGAAGAUGCAGUGUACCCGCGGCAAGACGGAAAGACCCCGUGAACCUUUACUAUAGCUUGACACUGAACAUUGAGCCUUGAUGUGUAGGAUAGGUGGGAGGCUUGGAAGUGUGGACGCCAGUCUGCAUGGAGCCGACCUUGAAAUACCACCCUUUAAUGUUUGAUGUUCUAACGUUGACCCGUAAUCCGGGUUGCGGACAGUGUCUGGUGGGUAGUUUGACUGGGGCGGUCUCCUCCUAAAGAGUAACGGAGGAGCACGAAGGUUGGCUAAUCCUGGUCGGACAUCAGGAGGUUAGUGCAAUGGCAUAAGCCAGCUUGACUGCGAGCGUGACGGCGCGAGCAGGUGCGAAAGCAGGUCAUAGUGAUCCGGUGGUUCUGAAUGGAAGGGCCAUCGCUCAACGGAUAAAAGGUACUCCGGGGAUAACAGGCUGAUACCGCCCAAGAGUUCAUAUCGACGGCGGUGUUUGGCACCUCGAUGUCGGCUCAUCACAUCCUGGGGCUGAAGUAGGUCCCAAGGGUAUGGCUGUUCGCCAUUUAAAGUGGUACGCGAGCUGGGUUUAGAACGUCGUGAGACAGUUCGGUCCCUAUCUGCCGUGGGCGCUGGAGAACUGAGGGGGGCUGCUCCUAGUACGAGAGGACCGGAGUGGACGCAUCACUGGUGUUCGGGUUGUCAUGCCAAUGGCACUGCCCGGUAGCUAAAUGCGGAAGAGAUAAGUGCUGAAAGCAUCUAAGCACGAAACUUGCCCCGAGAUGAGUUCUCCCUGACCCUUUAAGGGUCCUGAAGGAACGUUGAAGACGACGACGUUGAUAGGCCGGGUGUGUAAGCGCAGCGAUGCGUUGAGCUAACCGGUACUAAUGAACCGUGAGGCUUAACCUUACAACGCCGAAGCUGUU